RNAcentral lists this ribosomal RNA (433 nucleotides) under uncultured bacterium. Its description in RNAcentral is "partial 16S ribosomal RNA". It matches the Rfam family "Bacterial small subunit ribosomal RNA", at positions 29 to 507 of the family's 1533-position model. The record is from RNAcentral.
AACGAACGCUGGCGGCAUGCCUAACACAUGCAAGUCGAACGAGACCUUCGGGUCUAGUGGCGCACGGGUGCGUAACGCGUGGGAACCUGCCCUUAGGUUCGGAAUAACUCCCCGAAAGGGGUGCUAAUACCGGAUAAUGUCUUCGGACCAAAGAUUUAUCGCCUUUGGAUGGGCCCGCGUUGGAUUAGCUAGUUGGUAGGGUAAAAGCCUACCAAGGCGACGAUCCAUAGCUGGUCUGAGAGGAUGAUCAGCCACACUGGGACUGAGACACGGCCCAGACUCCUACGGGAGGCAGCAGUGGGGAAUAUUGGACAAUGGGCGAAAGCCUGAUCCAGCAAUGCCGCGUGAGUGAUGAAGUCCUUAGGGUUGUAAAGCUCUUUUACCCGGGAUGAUAAUGACAGUACCGAGAGAAUAAGCUCCGGCUAACUCCGUG